AUUGAACGCUGGCGGCAGGCCUAACACAUGCAAGUCGAGCGGAUGAAGGGAGCUUGCUCCUGGAUUCAGCGGCGGACGGGUGAGUAAUGCCUAGGAAUCUGCCUGGUAGUGGGGGAUAACGUCCGCAAACGGGCGCUAAUACCGCAUACGUCCUGAGGGAGAAACUGGGGGAUCUUCGGACCUCACGCUCUCAGAUGAGCCUAGGGCGGAUUAGCUAGUUGGUGGGGUAAAGGCCUACCAAGGCGACGAUCCGGAACUGGUCUGAGAGGAUGAUCAGUCACACUGGGACGGAGACACGGUCCAGACGCCUACGGGAGGCAGCAGUAGGGAAUAUUGGGCAAGGGGCGGAAGACUGAUCCAACCAGGCCGCGGGUGGGAAGAAGGUCUUCGGGUUGGAAAGGACUUUAAGUUGGGAGGAAGGGGAGUAAGUUAAUACCGUGCUGUUUUGGCGGUUCCAACAGAAAAAGCACCGGGCUAACUCGGGG
This 485-nucleotide ribosomal RNA is filed under the name uncultured bacterium. Its description in RNAcentral is "partial 16S ribosomal RNA". It matches the Rfam family "Bacterial small subunit ribosomal RNA", at positions 29 to 507 of the family's 1533-position model. The record is from RNAcentral.